CGAAGGUAGCAUAAUCAGUAGUCUUUUAAUUGAAGGCUGGUAUGAAUGGUUGGAUGAAAUAUUAACUGUUUCAUUUAAAUUUUUUUUAGAAUUUUAUUUUUUAGUUAAAAAGCUAAAAUGUUGUUAAAAGACGAGAAGACCCUAUAAAUCUUUAUAUUUUAGGUGUAUUAAUUAUAUUGAUUUAUUUAAUUAUUAUAAUUAAAAGUAUUUUAUUGGGGUGAUAUUAAAAUUUAAAAAACUUUUAAUUUAAAAUUUACAUAAAUUAAUGAAUAAAUGAUCCAUUAUUAAUGAUUAACAAUUUAAGUUACUUUAGGGAUAACAGCGUAAUUUUUUUGGAGAGUUCAUAUUGAUAAAAAAGAUUGCGACCUCGAUGUUGGAUUAA
Molecule: ribosomal RNA, 382 nt
Filed under: Quametopia clintonia
Lineage: Eukaryota; Metazoa; Arthropoda; Insecta; Diptera; Anthomyzidae
Description: partial 16S ribosomal RNA
Source: RNAcentral